UUGUUUGCAAACAGGGUGGGAAACCCCAGCCCUGCCCAGAGGGGGAGGGCAGGGCCUGAGACUCUCAGUCAGCCAUGGAUGGCUCCACUCAGCUCAGCUCAGCUCAGCCUCACUUUUCUCCUGGAGCCUGUGAACCCCUUGAAAGCUGGCACUCUUACAAAGAGCUCUCUAGCAGGUUGGCAGAGUGGAAAAAUCCACGUUUCUCUGUUAAAAUGGGAAAUUCAUCUUUUUCAUGGGAAAGAGGGAAAAUCCAUUUUCCAUGGGAAACAGAAGACUCGGAUCCCUGAUUAUCACAGAGUCUGGCUGUAGAUUUAUGAAGUGAAGUUCCUAGGCUCAUCUGCCAUAAUCUCAGGCCUGAUUUUCACCUCCAACAGUCCCCUCCUUGAUACCUUUCAUAUGGGUAAUCUUCAGGGUAUCAACACGAAGAUAUGAGGGGCUGAGUCAUAGUUUCUGUUUCUUCCUCGGAAGACACCAUGCCCAAUCAUUAUGGCAACCUCACACCUCACUAUGGAUAAGGACUUCAUUGAGGAGAUUUACUUGUCAGAUUCCAACUUGUUACAUGGAUAAACUAUAACUCAGCAUGAACUAGGGGGAAUCAGGAAACAGGAAAACUGUUGCUAACCCUCUAUUACUUGUAUCAGUGAAAUGUUAUCAUACAUACUGGUGGUCUCCGCAUUCAUGUCUUCAUACACAUUUUCUCGAUUCACUUUCAUAUAUCCUUCAUUCAACAACUCAGCCAAUUGUAUUUUGGGGUUAGCCCUUUUAACCACACUGUAAUGUACCCAAUCUGCUUCCUUAACUGACACAUCCAAAUCAGAGUCAUCAUAUCGAACAGUCCCAAACAUACCUGACAAGCCAUGACCACAACAAUUGGAUGAAGCAUCAAAUUUAGAAUACCAGUGGCUGUUGGACUCCACCCAGACAAUGUCUCCCACUAUGGGUGAUUUGCUUUUUUGGCAAAAUUAUUCAUAAUUUGGGUGAUAUUAUUAUUAUGAAUCACCUUUCCGUAUAAUUGUUCAGUCUUUUCAGCAUUUGCAUUCAAUAUUUCCUGUAUUCCAUCGUGUAGAAUUAAUUGUUUUAAUAUGGACAAUUCCAUGCCAAUGUGACUGGUAUAAUCCUUUCAUAUACUGUAAAAUUUCUAAUUAUUGUCAGGUUAUACAUAUAUGGCAUUUUAAAGUCCACAUCACAUCCUAAGAUGUGAGUGGUGUGGCACAUGCAAAAUGUUCUGUUAUGCCAAGAUAUACUGAGUCUGAACCAAUGAUUUACAAUUACAUGUUGUCACCAGGUACAUAUACAGAUGCAUUGUUCAUUAACUGAAUAGACAGCGGUACUUGACUCAUUAUUUGGGUUUAUCAUGAACUGGCACACUUUGAAUCUAUUGAUAGAGUUUAAGCAUGGAUCCUUUCUGGGAUGAUGCACUUCUUCACAUAUGUAACCUUGUCCUUCUUGGAUGGAACAAUGGCUUAUGCCCUCCAGACAAAUUUGUUCUUGAACACUACCAUUGCCAGACCGUUUAUGUGGCUUAAUCCAGCUGGUUAUUAUAUCUGGCACAAAUAAUGAUUACUUUACCCGUCUUUCUAGUCCUAUGAUCGGAUAAAUGGUCUCAAUUUUUGCAUCAAUGAUUGUGUGAACAGUUGCCAACAGUGCAUUUCUUUUGUGAUCAUAUUCAAAAUGUACCAACUCCCACCAGUUUCUUAAUAUUAAUUCUUUCUCAGUAGUGACUUCUAGUAUCAAUUGCCCAAAUCCCUGAAUACCUCUGUCUUCUUAUACCACUGACUACCAUCUGUAUCCAUACUUGGGCUUGACCACAUGACAGAGCAAGCCCCGUGUCAUUCUGUCUUUUCCAUAGCACGUAUGACUAGUAGUCCUUCCAAUUGGCGUAUUUGGUGCCACACAGGUAGUAAGUCUGCAGUAGUGGCCACCUGGUGUCCCAUGUCUGAUGUUGAUGUUGUAAUUGGUCGCUCAACCUCCCUCAAUUGCUUAUUGGCAUGUGAGAGCUUGUUCAUUAUAAUUUCUGUAUUAACUGAAUUCAUUACACCUAAUCCGGUACC
Alligator mississippiensis (American alligator) is the source of this 2051-nucleotide long non-coding RNA. RefSeq lists it as uncharacterized. The transcript has 3 exons. Lineage: Eukaryota; Metazoa; Chordata; Crocodylia; Alligatoridae. The record is from RefSeq and is a predicted model, not a curated record.